Molecule: ribosomal RNA, 426 nt
Filed under: uncultured bacterium
Lineage: Bacteria
Description: bacterial SSU rRNA
Rfam family: Bacterial small subunit ribosomal RNA
Source: RNAcentral
AGGGAAUCUUCCGCAAUGGACGAAAGUCUGACGGAGCAACGCCGCGUGAGUGAAGAAGGCCUUCGGGUCGUAAAACUCUGUUGCCGGGGAAGAACAAGUGCCGUUCGAACAGGGCGGCGCCUUGACGGUACCCGGCCAGAAAGCCACGGCUAACUACGUGCCAGCAGCCGCGGUAAUACGUAGGUGGCAAGCGUUGUCCGGAAUUAUUGGGCGUAAAGCGCGCGCAGGCGGUCUUUUAAGUCUUAUGUGAAAUCUUGGGGCUCAACCGCAAGCGGUCAUUGGAAACUGGGAGGCUUGAGUGCAGAAGAGGAGAGUGGAAUUCCACGUGUAGCGGUGAAAUGCGUAGAGAUGUGGAGGAACACCAGUGGCGAAGGCGGCUCUCUGGUCUGUAACUGACGCUGAGGCGCGAAAGCGUGGGGAGCAAAC